GGUUAAGCGACUAAGCGUACACGGUGGAUGCCCUGGCAGUCAGAGGCGAUGAAGGACGUGCUAAUCUGCGAUAAGCGUCGGUAAGGUGAUAUGAACCGUUAUAACCGGCGAUUUCCGAAUGGGGAAACCCAGUGUGAUUCGUCACACUAUCAUUACGUGAAUAUAUAGCGUAAUGAAGCGAACCGGGGGAACUGAAACAUCUAAGUACCCCGAGGAAAAGAAAUCAACCGAGAUUCCCCCAGUAGCGGCGAGCGAACGGGGAGCAGCCCAGAGUCUGAAUCAGCUUGUGUGUUAGUGGAACGGUCUGGAAAGUCCGACGGUACAGGGUGAUAGUCCCGUACACCAAAAUGCACAGGUUGUGAACUCGAAGAGUAGGGCGGGACACGUGGUAUCCUGUCUGAAUAUGGGGGGACCAUCCUCCAAGGCUAAAUACUCCUGACUGACCGAUAGUGAACCAGUACCGUGAGGGAAAGGCGAAAAGAACCCCGGCGAGGGGAGUGAAAAAGAACCUGAAACCGUGUACGUACAAGCAGUGGGAGCCUCUUUAUGGGGUGACUGCGUACCUUUUGUAUAAUGGGUCAGCGACUUAUAUUCUGUAGCAAGGUUAACCGUAUAGGGGAGCCGAAGGGAAACCGAGUCUUAACUGGGCGUUAAGUUGCAGGGUAUAGACCCGAAACCCGGUGAUCUAGCCAUGGGCAGGUUGAAGGUUGGGUAACACUAACUGGAGGACCGAACCGACUAAUGUUGAAAAAUUAGCGGAUGACUUGUGGCUGGGGGUGAAAGGCCAAUCAAACCGGGAGAUAGCUGGUUCUCCCCGAAAGCU
RNAcentral lists this ribosomal RNA (823 nucleotides) under Citrobacter freundii. RNAcentral describes it as "partial 23S ribosomal RNA". It matches the Rfam family "Bacterial large subunit ribosomal RNA", at positions 1 to 867 of the family's 2925-position model. The record is from RNAcentral. Lineage: Bacteria; Pseudomonadati; Pseudomonadota; Gammaproteobacteria; Enterobacterales; Enterobacteriaceae.